Molecule: ribosomal RNA, 301 nt
Filed under: uncultured bacterium
Lineage: Bacteria
Description: partial 16S ribosomal RNA
Rfam family: Bacterial small subunit ribosomal RNA
Source: RNAcentral
CAGUAGCGCGGUAAUACGUAGGGUGCAAGCGUUAAUCGGAAUUACUGGGCGUAAAGCGUGCGCAGGCGGUUAUAUAAGACAGAUGUGAAAUCCCCGGGCUCAACCUGGGAACUGCAUUUGUGACUGUAUAGCUAGAGUACGGCAGAGGGGGAUGGAAUUCCGCGUGUAGCAGUGAAAUGCGUAGAUAUGCGGAGGAACACCGAUGGCGAAGGCAAUCCCCUGGGCCUGUACUGACGCUCAUGCACGAAAGCGUGGGGAGCAAACAGGAUUAGAUACCCCCGUAGUCCCUGUCUCUUAUACA